RNAcentral lists this ribosomal RNA (443 nucleotides) under uncultured bacterium. Its description in RNAcentral is "partial 16S ribosomal RNA". It matches the Rfam family "Bacterial small subunit ribosomal RNA", at positions 338 to 795 of the family's 1533-position model. The record is from RNAcentral.
CCUACGGGAGGCAGCAGUGGGGAAUAUUGGGCAAUGGGCGCAAGCCUGACCCAGCAACGCCGCGUGAAGGAAGAAGGCUUUCGGGUUGUAACCUUCUUUUCUCAGGGACGAAGAAAGUGACGGUACCUUAGGAAUAAGCCACGGCUAACUACGUGCCAGCAGCCGCGGUAAUACGUAGGUGGCAAGCGUUAUCCGGAUUUAUUGGGUGUAAAGGGCGUGUAGGCGGGAGCGCAAGUCAGAUGUGAAAACUCAGGGCUCAACCCUGAGCCUGCAUUUGAAACUGUGGUUCUUGAGUGCUGGUGAGGCAAUCGGAAUUCCGGGUGUAGCGGUGAAAUGCGUAGAUAUAAGGAGGAACACCAGUGGCGAAGGCGGAUUGCUGGACAGUAACUGACGCUGAGGCGCGAAAGCGUGGGGAGCAAACAGGAUUAGAUACCCCAGUAGUC